This 2922-nucleotide ribosomal RNA is filed under the name Staphylococcus aureus. RNAcentral describes it as "23S ribosomal RNA". It matches the Rfam family "Bacterial large subunit ribosomal RNA". The record is from RNAcentral. Lineage: Bacteria; Bacillati; Bacillota; Bacilli; Caryophanales; Staphylococcaceae.
UUAAGUUAUUAAGGGCGCACGGUGGAUGCCUUGGCACUAGAAGCCGAUGAAGGACGUUACUAACGACGAUAUGCUUUGGGGAGCUGUAAGUAAGCUUUGAUCCAGAGAUUUCCGAAUGGGGAAACCCAACAUGAGUUAUGUCAUGUUAUCGAUAUGUGAAUACAUAGCAUAUCAGAAGGCACACCCGGAGAACUGAAACAUCUUAGUACCCGGAGGAAGAGAAAGAAAAUUCGAUUCCCUUAGUAGCGGCGAGCGAAACGGGAAGAGCCCAAACCAACAAGCUUGCUUGUUGGGGUUGUAGGACACUCUAUACGGAGUUACAAAGGACGACAUUAGACGAAUCAUCUGGAAAGAUGAAUCAAAGAAGGUAAUAAUCCUGUAGUCGAAAAUGUUGUCUCUCUUGAGUGGAUCCUGAGUACGACGGAGCACGUGAAAUUCCGUCGGAAUCUGGGAGGACCAUCUCCUAAGGCUAAAUACUCUCUAGUGACCGAUAGUGAACCAGUACCGUGAGGGAAAGGUGAAAAGCACCCCGGAAGGGGAGUGAAAUAGAACCUGAAACCGUGUGCUUACAAGUAGUCAGAGCCCGUUAAUGGGUGAUGGCGUGCCUUUUGUAGAAUGAACCGGCGAGUUACGAUUUGAUGCAAGGUUAAGCAGUAAAUGUGGAGCCGUAGCGAAAGCGAGUCUGAAUAGGGCGUUUAGUAUUUGGUCGUAGACCCGAAACCAGGUGAUCUACCCUUGGUCAGGUUGAAGUUCAGGUAACACUGAAUGGAGGACCGAACCGACUUACGUUGAAAAGUGAGCGGAUGAACUGAGGGUAGCGGAGAAAUUCCAAUCGAACCUGGAGAUAGCUGGUUCUCUCCGAAAUAGCUUUAGGGCUAGCCUCAAGUGAUGAUUAUUGGAGGUAGAGCACUGUUUGGACGAGGGGCCCCUCUCGGGUUACCGAAUUCAGACAAACUCCGAAUGCCAAUUAAUUUAACUUGGGAGUCAGAACAUGGGUGAUAAGGUCCGUGUUCGAAAGGGAAACAGCCCAGACCACCAGCUAAGGUCCCAAAAUAUAUGUUAAGUGGAAAAGGAUGUGGCGUUGCCCAGACAACUAGGAUGUUGGCUUAGAAGCAGCCAUCAUUUAAAGAGUGCGUAAUAGCUCACUAGUCGAGUGACACUGCGCCGAAAAUGUACCGGGGCUAAACAUAUUACCGAAGCUGUGGAUUGUCCUUUGGACAAUGGUAGGAGAGCGUUCUAAGGGCGUUGAAGCAUGAUCGUAAGGACAUGUGGAGCGCUUAGAAGUGAGAAUGCCGGUGUGAGUAGCGAAAGACGGGUGAGAAUCCCGUCCACCGAUUGACUAAGGUUUCCAGAGGAAGGCUCGUCCGCUCUGGGUUAGUCGGGUCCUAAGCUGAGGCCGACAGGCGUAGGCGAUGGAUAACAGGUUGAUAUUCCUGUACCACCUAUAAUCGUUUUAAUCGAUGGGGGGGACGCAGUAGGAUAGGCGAAGCGUGCGAUUGGAUUGCACGUCUAAGCAGUAAGGCUGAGUAUUAGGCAAAUCCGGUACUCGUUAAGGCUGAGCUGUGAUGGGGAGAAGACAUUGUGUCUUCGAGUCGUUGAUUUCACACUGCCGAGAAAAGCCUCUAGAUAGAAAAUAGGUGCCCGUACCGCAAACCGACACAGGUAGUCAAGAUGAGAAUUCUAAGGUGAGCGAGCGAACUCUCGUUAAGGAACUCGGCAAAAUGACCCCGUAACUUCGGGAGAAGGGGUGCUCUUUAGGGUUAACGCCCAGAAGAGCCGCAGUGAAUAGGCCCAAGCGACUGUUUAUCAAAAACACAGGUCUCUGCUAAACCGUAAGGUGAUGUAUAGGGGCUGACGCCUGCCCGGUGCUGGAAGGUUAAGAGGAGUGGUUAGCUUCUGCGAAGCUACGAAUCGAAGCCCCAGUAAACGGCGGCCGUAACUAUAACGGUCCUAAGGUAGCGAAAUUCCUUGUCGGGUAAGUUCCGACCCGCACGAAAGGCGUAACGAUUUGGGCACUGUCUCAACGAGAGACUCGGUGAAAUCAUAGUACCUGUGAAGAUGCAGGUUACCCGCGACAGGACGGAAAGACCCCGUGGAGCUUUACUGUAGCCUGAUAUUGAAAUUCGGCACAGCUUGUACAGGAUAGGUAGGAGCCUUUGAAACGUGAGCGCUAGCUUACGUGGAGGCGCUGGUGGGAUACUACCCUAGCUGUGUUGGCUUUCUAACCCGCACCACUUAUCGUGGUGGGAGACAGUGUCAGGCGGGCAGUUUGACUGGGGCGGUCGCCUCCUAAAAGGUAACGGAGGCGCUCAAAGGUUCCCUCAGAAUGGUUGGAAAUCAUUCAUAGAGUGUAAAGGCAUAAGGGAGCUUGACUGCGAGACCUACAAGUCGAGCAGGGUCGAAAGACGGACUUAGUGAUCCGGUGGUUCCGCAUGGAAGGGCCAUCGCUCAACGGAUAAAAGCUACCCCGGGGAUAACAGGCUUAUCUCCCCCAAGAGUUCACAUCGACGGGGAGGUUUGGCACCUCGAUGUCGGCUCAUCGCAUCCUGGGGCUGUAGUCGGUCCCAAGGGUUGGGCUGUUCGCCCAUUAAAGCGGUACGCGAGCUGGGUUCAGAACGUCGUGAGACAGUUCGGUCCCUAUCCGUCGUGGGCGUAGGAAAUUUGAGAGGAGCUGUCCUUAGUACGAGAGGACCGGGAUGGACAUACCUCUGGUGUACCAGUUGUCGUGCCAACGGCAUAGCUGGGUAGCUAUGUGUGGACGGGAUAAGUGCUGAAAGCAUCUAAGCAUGAAGCCCCCCUCAAGAUGAGAUUUCCCAACUUCGGUUAUAAGAUCCCUCAAAGAUGAUGAGGUUAAUAGGUUCGAGGUGGAAGCAUGGUGACAUGUGGAGCUGACGAAUACUAAUCGAUCGAAGACUUAAUCAA